RNAcentral lists this unclassified non-coding RNA (362 nucleotides) under soil metagenome. RNAcentral's name for it is "partial contains 5.8S ribosomal RNA, internal transcribed spacer 2, and large subunit ribosomal RNA". The stretch from base 1 to 123 matches the Rfam family "5.8S ribosomal RNA", at positions 35 to 154 of the family's 154-position model. The record is from RNAcentral.
GAUGAAGAACGCAGCGAAAUGCGAUACGUAAUGUGAAUUGCAGAUCUCUCAGUGAACCAUCGAAUUUUUGAACGCACAUAGCGCCCGCCGGUCAUUCCGGCGGGCAUGCCUGUCCGAGCGUCAUUGCUGCCCAUCAAGCGCGGCUUGUGUGUUGGGCCGCCGUCCGCCUUCCCCCCCGGGGGGAGGGGGACGGGCCCGAAAGGCAGCGGCGGCACCGCGUCCGGUCCUCGAGCGUAUGGGGCUCAGUCACCCGCUCUGGAGGCCCGGCCGGCGCCCGCCGACCCCCAACCUUAUUCUAACCAGGUUGACCUCGGAUCAGGUAGGGAUACCCGCUGAACUUAAGCAUAUCAAUAAGCGGAGGA